CAGUGUAGAAAAUUUGAUGUGAAACGUACCACUUCAUCUUGUUGGAUUAUGUAGCCAUCGCUUUCUUAUGUGCAUUUAAUAUUCACAGUUUUACUUUUUCGUUUGAAAUUUUGAAUGAUGAAAAUGUCUUCUUUUUUUUUUCCGAAAAUACCCCUUCCAUUCCAUCAAUUUUUCAAUAAUGAAAAUACCCUUCUCUCUUUAUGAUAUCGUGUGAAAAAGUUAU
Molecule: long non-coding RNA, 223 nt
Filed under: Elaeis guineensis (African oil palm)
Lineage: Eukaryota; Viridiplantae; Streptophyta; Magnoliopsida; Arecales; Arecaceae
Description: long non-coding RNA (EGUI_LNC025549)
Source: RNAcentral